GACGAACGCUGGCGGCGUGCUUAACACAUGCAAGUCGAGCGAUGAAGUUCCUUCGGGAAUGGAUUAGCGGCGGACGGGUGAGUAACACGUGGGUAACCUGCCUCAUAGAGGGGAAUGGCCUUUCGAAAGGAAGAUUAAUACCGCAUAAGAUUGUAGUACCGCAUGGUACAGCAAUUAAAGGAGUAAUCCGCUAUGAGAUGGACCCGCGUCGCAUUAGCUAGUUGGUGAGGUAACGGCUCACCAAGGCGACGAUGCGUAGCCGACCUGAGAGGGUGAUCGGCCACAUUGGGACUGAGACACGGCCCAGACUCCUACGGGAGGCAGCAGUGGGGAAUAUUGCACAAUGGGGGAAACCCUGAUGCAGCAACGCCGCGUGAGUGAUGACGGUCUUCGGAUUGUAAAGCUCUGUCUUUAGGGACGAUAAUGACGGUACCCAAGGAGGAAGCCACGGCUAACUACGUGCCAGCCGCCGCAGUAA
This 478-nucleotide ribosomal RNA is filed under the name uncultured bacterium. Its description in RNAcentral is "partial 16S ribosomal RNA". It matches the Rfam family "Bacterial small subunit ribosomal RNA", at positions 28 to 523 of the family's 1533-position model. The record is from RNAcentral.